Molecule: ribosomal RNA, 253 nt
Filed under: uncultured bacterium
Lineage: Bacteria
Description: partial 16S ribosomal RNA
Rfam family: Bacterial small subunit ribosomal RNA
Source: RNAcentral
UACGAAGGGGGCUAGCGUUGCUCGGAAUCACUGGGCGUAAAGCGCACGUAGGCGGCUUUCUAAGUCGGUGGUGAAAUCCUGGAGCUCAACUCCAGAACUGCCUCCGAUACUGGAGGGCUCGAGUCCGGGAGAGGUGAGUGGAACUGCGAGUGUAGAGGUGAAAUUCGUAGAUAUUCGCAAGAACACCAGUGGCGAAGGCGGCUCACUGGCCCGGUACUGACGCUGAGGUGCGAAAGCGUGGGGAGCAAACAGG